GUUUACGUAAUUUAAUUAAAAUACUAGAUUGUGAUUCUAAAUAUGAAAGUUCAAUCCUUUCCAUAAACC
Molecule: transfer RNA, 69 nt
Filed under: Ensatina eschscholtzii croceater (yellow-blotched Ensatina)
Lineage: Eukaryota; Metazoa; Chordata; Amphibia; Caudata; Plethodontidae
Description: tRNA-His
Rfam family: tRNA
About the family: Transfer RNA (tRNA) molecules are approximately 80 nucleotides in length. Their secondary structure includes four short double-helical elements and three loops (D, anti-codon, and T loops).
Source: RNAcentral